UACAGAGGGGGCAAGCGUUAUUCGGAAUUAUUGGGCGUAAAGGGCGCGUAGGCGGCCUGGCAAGUGGAUGGUGAAAUCCCUCGGCUUAACCGAGGAACUGCCAUCCAGACUGCUUGGCUUGAGACCGGGAGAGGUGAGUGGAAUUCCCAGUGUAGCGGUGAAAUGCGUAGAUAUUGGGAGGAACACCAGUGGCGAAGGCGGCUCACUGGACCGGUACUGACGCUGAUGCGCGAAAGCGUGGGGAGCGAACCGG
RNAcentral lists this ribosomal RNA (253 nucleotides) under uncultured bacterium. Its description in RNAcentral is "partial 16S ribosomal RNA". It matches the Rfam family "Bacterial small subunit ribosomal RNA", at positions 524 to 776 of the family's 1533-position model. The record is from RNAcentral.